This 85-nucleotide transfer RNA is filed under the name Felis catus (domestic cat). It matches the Rfam family "tRNA". Rfam says of the family: Transfer RNA (tRNA) molecules are approximately 80 nucleotides in length. Their secondary structure includes four short double-helical elements and three loops (D, anti-codon, and T loops). The record is from Rfam by way of RNAcentral. Lineage: Eukaryota; Metazoa; Chordata; Mammalia; Carnivora; Felidae.
GCCUAGGUGGCUCAGUCGGUUGGGCAUCUGACUUUGGCUCAGGUCAUGAUCUCGCAGUUUGUGGGUUCGAGCCCCGCAUCAGGCU